UACAGAGGGUGCAAGCGUUAAUCGGAACUACUGGGCGUAAAGAGCACGUAGGUGGUGGUUCAAGUUGGAUGUGAAAGCCCCGGGCUUAACCUGGGAAGGUCAUCCAAGACUGAUCGACUAGAGUAUGGUAGAGGGAAGUGGAAUUUCCGGUGUAGCGGUGAAAUGCGUAGAUAUCGGAAGGAACACCAGUGGCGAAGGCGACUUCCUGGACUAAUACUGACACUGAGGUGCGAAAGCGUGGGGAGCAAACAGG
Molecule: ribosomal RNA, 253 nt
Filed under: uncultured bacterium
Lineage: Bacteria
Description: partial 16S ribosomal RNA
Rfam family: Bacterial small subunit ribosomal RNA
Source: RNAcentral